UACGUAGGAUGCAAGCGUUAUCCGGAAUUAUUGGGCGUAAAGAGCGUGUAGGCGGCGUAUUAAGUCAAAUGUUAAAUCUCAGGGCUCAACUCUGGGGCUGCAUUUGAUACUGGUAUGCUCGAGGUUGUGAGAGGUAAGCGGAAUUAGCGGUGUAGCAGUGAAAUGCGUAGAUAUCGCUAGGAACACCAAUGGCGAAGGCAGCUUACUGGCACAAUCCUGACGCUGAGACACGAAAGCGUGGGGAGCGAACGGG
RNAcentral lists this ribosomal RNA (253 nucleotides) under uncultured bacterium. RNAcentral describes it as "partial 16S ribosomal RNA". It matches the Rfam family "Bacterial small subunit ribosomal RNA", at positions 524 to 776 of the family's 1533-position model. The record is from RNAcentral.